GUAGGUGGCAAGCGUUGUCCAGAAUUAUUGGGGCGUAAAGCGCGCGCAGGCGGUUCUUUAAGUCUGAUGUGAAAGCCCACGGGCUCAACCGUGGAGGGUCAUUGGAAACUGGAGAACUUGAGUACAGAAGAGGAAAGCGGGAUUCCACGUGUAGCGGUGAAAUGCGUAGAGAUGUGGAGGAACACCAGUGGCGAAGGCGGCUUUCUGGUCUGUAACUGACGCUGAGGCGCGAAAGCGUGGGGAGCAAACAGGAUUAGAUACCCUGGUAGUCCACGCCGUAAACGAUGAGUGCUAAGUGUUAGGGGGUUUCCGCCCCUUAGUGCUGCAGCUAACGCAUUAAGCACUCCGCCUGGGGAGUACGGCCGCAAAGGCUG
This 374-nucleotide ribosomal RNA is filed under the name uncultured organism. RNAcentral describes it as "partial 16S ribosomal RNA". It matches the Rfam family "Bacterial small subunit ribosomal RNA", at positions 527 to 896 of the family's 1533-position model. The record is from RNAcentral.